Molecule: ribosomal RNA, 397 nt
Filed under: uncultured bacterium
Lineage: Bacteria
Description: partial 16S ribosomal RNA
Rfam family: Bacterial small subunit ribosomal RNA
Source: RNAcentral
AUACGUAGGGGGCGAGCGUUGUCCGGAAUGAUUGGGCGUAAAGGGCGCGUAGGCGGCCCGGUAAGUCUGGAGUGAAAGUCCUGUUUUUAAGAUGGGAAUUGCUUUGGAUACUGUCGGGCUUGAGUGCAGGAGAGGUAAGUGGAAUUCCCAGUGUAGCGGUGAAGUGCGUAGAGAUUGGGAGGAACACCAGUGGCGAAGGCGACUUACUGGACUGUAACUGACGCUGAGGCGCGAAAGUGUGGGGAGCAAACAGGAUUAGACACCCUGGUAGUCCACACUGUAAACGAUGAAUGCUAGGUGUAGGGGGUAUCGACCCCUUCUGUGCCGCAGUCAACACAAUAAGCAUUCCGCCUGGGGAGUACGGCCGCAAGGUUGAAACUCAAAGGAAUUGACGGGG